GAUGAACGCUGGCGGCGUGCCUAAUACAUGCAAGUCGAGCGAACAGAUGAGGAGCUUGCUCCUCUGACGUUAGCGGCGGACGGGUGAGUAACACGUGGAUAACCUACCUAUAAGACUGGGAUAACUUCGGGAAACCGGAGCUAAUACCGGAUAAUAUAUUGAACCGCAUGGUUCAAUAGUGAAAGACGGUUUUGCUGUCACUUAUAGAUGGAUCCGCGCCGCAUUAGCUAGUUGGUAAGGUACCGGCUUACCAAGGCAACGAUGCGUAGCCGACCUGAGAGGGUGAUCGGCCACACUGGAACUGAGGCACGGUCCAGACUCCUACGGGAGGCAGCAGUAGGGAAUCUUCCGCAAUGGGCGAAAGCCUGACGGAGCAACGCCGCGUGAGUGAUGAAGGUCUUCGGAUCGUAAAACUCUGUUAUUAGGGAAGAACAAAUGUGUAAGUAACUAUGCACGUCUUGACGGUACCUAAUCAGAAAGCCACGGCUAACUACGUG
RNAcentral lists this ribosomal RNA (497 nucleotides) under uncultured bacterium. RNAcentral describes it as "partial 16S ribosomal RNA". It matches the Rfam family "Bacterial small subunit ribosomal RNA", at positions 28 to 507 of the family's 1533-position model. The record is from RNAcentral.